UCCCUGAUAGCUCAGCUGGUAGAGCGACGGACUGUUAAUCCGCAGGUCGCAGGUUCGAGCCCUGCUCGGGGAGCCA
This 76-nucleotide transfer RNA is filed under the name Pseudogulbenkiania ferrooxidans 2002. RNAcentral's name for it is "tRNA-Asn". It matches the Rfam family "tRNA". Rfam says of the family: Transfer RNA (tRNA) molecules are approximately 80 nucleotides in length. Their secondary structure includes four short double-helical elements and three loops (D, anti-codon, and T loops). RNAcentral also lists the same sequence under 1 other name. Lineage: Bacteria; Pseudomonadati; Pseudomonadota; Betaproteobacteria; Neisseriales; Chromobacteriaceae. The record is from RNAcentral.